UGACCGCGGCCGCGCGCGCUCCCGCCGGGCACCAUGAACCCCGGCGGUCUGAAGUUUGUUAUUUUCACGGCACUUCAGGCUUUUUUCGUGUCCCUGUCGGUGUGCGACGGUGCGCUCCUCAGACCUGCUGAAGAGAAUCUUCUCAGCACAACUGCUGAGCCCAGAGCGGCGGCGGCGGCGAGGCGGCGGCUCUACGGGACCACGGUGCCGCUGCAGCUUGUUGGACGAGACUGGAAAAGCAUCGAGCAGCUGAAAGCGCAGGUGGGAAAGACCGUGGUGUGCUCCUCUUCCUGAUCUGCUGCCUGUUUGUGCGUCCUGGCGGUUCUGGCGCUGGAGAUGAACAGACGGAUGAUCACAGUUCAAAGUGAAGGAGGAAACAUUACGCGGCCGCAUAUCUGUUAAAUCCCAGACCUUCUCACAUCUAAAUAUACAGCUGCCAGGCAGACUCGAAAAAGCCCGUUGUGUUGUUUUCAAUUCAUUAGUGGAUUAAUUUGUUCUGGCUAAACCCAACAGCCACACAGUUUCCCAGGGACGCUAUUACUCCAAACAAAGCCCCAGAACCUCAGAAACGCAUCGCUAAUUUGAAAUUUACGCGUUUUAAUAACCACCCAGUCUUCUGUGCACGUUUUCUAUGUACGCUUGAAGCUAUAAAUGUUGUGAGGGAGGUCAGAACGCUCUGACAGCGGGAACUGGGGCAUUUACAUCCACGCGACUUGUGCCGUGAUGCCAUUGUGCCUCCACGUCCACUUGAUCCGGCAGACGUUCUCCUCCGCAGGGGGCUGAUGGACGACUUAACCCCGAGCCGCGCGCUCUGCCACGGGUGACCCAGAUUGAUGGCUGUACAGCGUGUGUGUGUGUGUGUGUGUGUGUGUGUGUGUGUGUGUGUGUGUGUGUGUGUGUGUGUGUGUGUGUGUGUGUGUGUGACUGACAGGCGUGAUGCGCGACUCGUGCCACCCCGUUUGACUCGUGCGGAGUCUCAGUGUUGUAAGUCUGGGGUGUGAAGCCUCGUGGCUUCCUGAGGGAUUAAUGUCAGAUGGAAUAGAAACAUAAA
RNAcentral lists this long non-coding RNA (1051 nucleotides) under Betta splendens (Siamese fighting fish). RNAcentral's name for it is "lncRNA (ENSBSLG00000025951.1)". Lineage: Eukaryota; Metazoa; Chordata; Actinopteri; Anabantiformes; Osphronemidae. The record is from RNAcentral.